The sequence is a transfer RNA, 76 nucleotides long. It matches the Rfam family "tRNA". Rfam says of the family: Transfer RNA (tRNA) molecules are approximately 80 nucleotides in length.
GUGAUAGUAGCUCAAUUGGUUAGAGCACCGGGUUGUGGUCCCGGAGGUUGUGGGUUCAAGUCCCAUCUAUCACCCA